UGGGGAAUUUUGGACAAUGGGGGAAACCCUGAUCCAGCCAUCCCGCGUGUGCGAUGAAGGCCUUCGGGUUGUAAAGCACUUUUGGCAGGAAAGAAACGUCGCGGGCUAAUACCCCGCGAAACUGACGGUACCUGCAGAAUAAGCACCGGCUAACUACGUGCCAGCAGCCGCGGUAAUACGUAGGGUGCAAGCGUUAAUCGGAAUUACUGGGCGUAAAGCGUGCGCAGGCGGUUCGGAAAGAAAGAUGUGAAAUCCCAGAGCUUAACUUUGGAACUGCAUUUUUAACUACCGGGCUAGAGUGUGUCAGAGGGAGGUGGAAUUCCGCGUGUAGCAGUGAAAUGCGUAGAUAUGCGGAGGAACACCGAUGGCGAAGGCAGCCUCCUGGGAUAACACUGACGCUCAUGCACGAAAGCGUGGGGAGCAAACAGGAUUAGAUACCCUGGUAGUCCACGCCCUAAACGAUGUCAACUAGCUGUUGGGGCCUUCGGGCCUUGGUAGCGCAGCUAACGCGUGAAGUUGACCGCCUGGGGAGUACGGUCGCAAGAUUAAAACUCAAAGGAAUUGG
RNAcentral lists this ribosomal RNA (565 nucleotides) under uncultured bacterium. Its description in RNAcentral is "partial 16S ribosomal RNA". It matches the Rfam family "Bacterial small subunit ribosomal RNA", at positions 355 to 913 of the family's 1533-position model. The record is from RNAcentral.